UAGAUCUUAUACUUGACUAUCACACUUUUGCUUCAAAGGAUCGAAAAUUAAACUCUAUACUCAAUACUUAACAUAUUAUAAACUAUGCAUUAAAUAGUACAUAUUACUCCUAUGCAUUAAAUACUGUUUGUUCUAGUACUGUUUGUAUAUAGUAUUGUAUAUUUCUUAACUGUACCACCAGAAAACCUAGUGCACAAAUAUUAGCUAGCAAGCUAGGUAGCAAGAUCCUGCAGCACGAUCAUCACCUGGAUUGUCCUCGUUCUUGUUCUUGGUUUUUUUGAUGAAGGAAAAAACAGACCGAACUAAGCACUCCCCCAUCAUUGUCGACACAUGCUUCUUCUUUGCAGGUAGCAAGCUCCUACCACUUUUAGAUUUGGUCUCUCCUUCGCCUGCAUCUCCCUUCACUAAUUUAUCCGCCAUCUCUUUCUCUUUGCUUCUCUCUUUUAC
This 447-nucleotide long non-coding RNA is filed under the name Panax ginseng (ginseng). RNAcentral describes it as "long non-coding RNA (PGIN_LNC005913)". The record is from RNAcentral. Lineage: Eukaryota; Viridiplantae; Streptophyta; Magnoliopsida; Apiales; Araliaceae.